RNAcentral lists this small RNA (90 nucleotides) under Jaculus jaculus (lesser Egyptian jerboa). Its description in RNAcentral is "7SK RNA (ENSJJAG00000009376.1)". It matches the Rfam family "7SK RNA", at positions 9 to 98 of the family's 331-position model. Rfam says of the family: 7SK was discovered as an abundant small nuclear RNA in the mid-70s but a possible function has only recently been suggested. The record is from RNAcentral. Lineage: Eukaryota; Metazoa; Chordata; Mammalia; Rodentia; Dipodidae.
GGGUGAUCUGGCUUGGAUAUCUGUCACCCCGCUGAUCACCAUGGUUGACUGGGAUGAUCUGGCUAGCUAGGCUGGUGUUCCCUUCCCCCC